GAAUUUUAUAUAAUUAUUAAAAUUAAAUUUAUUUUUAAAUUGAUAAAAUUUUAGUAUAUAUUUAGUUGGGAGGAUUAUUAAAUUUAAUAAACUUUAGUUUAAAAUUUACAUGAAUUAAUGAAAUAUAAAAAAAUUAAGUUGAAUUUAAAUGAAAAAAUUAAUUACCUUAGGGAUAACAGCGUAAAAUUUUUAGAGAGAUCAUAUUGAUAAAAAUGUUUGC
This 220-nucleotide ribosomal RNA is filed under the name Gnamptogenys regularis. RNAcentral describes it as "partial large subunit ribosomal RNA". The record is from RNAcentral. Lineage: Eukaryota; Metazoa; Arthropoda; Insecta; Hymenoptera; Formicidae.